Molecule: small nuclear RNA, 104 nt
Organism: Nannospalax galili (Upper Galilee mountains blind mole rat)
Lineage: Eukaryota; Metazoa; Chordata; Mammalia; Rodentia; Spalacidae
Source: Ensembl
GUGCUUGCUUCAGCAGCACACAUACUAAAACUGGAGAGAUACAAAGAUUAGCAAGGCCCAUGUACACGAACGACGUACAAAUUUGUGAAACGUUCAUCUGUUUU